RNAcentral lists this long non-coding RNA (307 nucleotides) under Elaeis guineensis (African oil palm). RNAcentral's name for it is "long non-coding RNA (EGUI_LNC015838)". The record is from RNAcentral. Lineage: Eukaryota; Viridiplantae; Streptophyta; Magnoliopsida; Arecales; Arecaceae.
ACCAGAGGAUUAAGUUGAACGAUUUGGUCGGCUGAUCAAGCCGGCUAGUUUGAUUGGUCACCAAUCCACAUCAGUAUUGGACUAAAACCAUAAUAGAAACGGUGACCCCAGUAAUUGGGCAACCUCGUGAGACAAAUCAUUCAUCCUCUCAUGACAAGUCAUUCAUCACCCCAAACUGUUGCAUCAGGCUACAUAUCGAAUCAAAUAUUUUUCCCUUGCCUUUUCUGAUUCUCUUUCCAUACAUGGAUACGAAUUCAGCCCCUCCACGUUGUCUGCAUCCCCGAAGAUCUUGCUCUGCAUGCACCCC